This is a transfer RNA of Loxodonta africana (African savanna elephant), 72 nucleotides long. It matches the Rfam family "tRNA". Rfam says of the family: Transfer RNA (tRNA) molecules are approximately 80 nucleotides in length. Their secondary structure includes four short double-helical elements and three loops (D, anti-codon, and T loops). The record is from Rfam. Lineage: Eukaryota; Metazoa; Chordata; Mammalia; Proboscidea; Elephantidae.
GCCCUGGUGGUGCAACGGUUAAGCACUCGGCUGCCAACUGAAGGGUUGGUGGUUCAAAUCCACCCAGUGGCU